Long non-coding RNA from Lolium rigidum, 834 nucleotides. RefSeq lists it as uncharacterized. The record is from RefSeq and is a predicted model, not a curated record. Lineage: Eukaryota; Viridiplantae; Streptophyta; Magnoliopsida; Poales; Poaceae. The transcript is spliced from 6 exons.
GCGAUGACUACAAGAUUGGUCCGUCCUUUCACCUGCCAUCGAUCUACCAUAAUUUCUCAAGAAUUUAAGUCAAUUGGAUCUUAGCAGAGCGAGCAGACUAAGUUGCUUGACUUUGGAAGGAUAGUGAGAGCACCUUCCAGUCAUCACAUGGAAACAUGGUUGGGCCCUUUGACUCAAUGGCCAUGACAAUGGAUGUGCAGCUUCAAGGCUAAGGACAUGAUCAUAAUGACAAAGAAGUCAUGAAAUUCAUUUAUUUGAGUGGUAAGAGAAGGAUUCACGUGAGAAGACAAAUAGUGGGUGUCGAGACCAGCAACCUUGCUGUCUCCGCACCAUCCCUAGGGUGCACGCCCACAACUCACCUUGGAUUAUUAAGGUGCUCUAGGAGAUAAGGAGUUUCUUAUUUACUAUUCUGGCAUUCUGAGAAGUUGUUCCAUGGGAAGAAGGAGCUCCAGUUUCAUGAUGCAUACGAAGAGAUUAUCCACCAGGUAUAUUUCACUUGCGCGAGGAGCUCCAUUUGAUGAAACAGGUUAAGGCAUCAUCCACCAUGUAUAUUUUGCUUCUGCAUAAGCUUCAACCAGUUUUAUCUACAAUUGUCUUUAUUUUUGUCUCCAAUAUAUCUUAUUUGCUGGCUACGAAGUACCAGUUGAUAUAUCACUUGUAUUACUUUCCGGAUUGUCAGGCUGCCAAAUCCACAUUUCUCGCUCUAUGGACAUGUCAAGGCAUCAUCCACUAUAUCGUCUGACAGGCUGCCAAAUCUACGCUUUUUUUCUCUAGGGCGUCUGUUCAGCCACAAUGGACUUUGAUUGUUGAAUACUCAAAAACUUCUUGCAUUCA